AUGAACGCUGGCGGCGUGCCUAAUACAUGCAAGUCGCGCGAACAGACGAGGAGCUUGCUCCUCUGACGUUAGCGGCGGACGGGUGAGUAACACGUGGAUAACCUACCUAUAAGACUGGGAUAACUUCGGGAAACCGGAGCUAAUACCGGAUAACAUGUUGAACCGCAUGGUUCAACAGUGAAAGACGGUCUUGCUGUCACUUAUAGAUGGAUCCGCGCCGCAUUAGCUAGUUGGUAAGGUAACGGCUUACCAAGGCAACGAUGCGUAGCCGACCUGAGAGGGUGAUCGGCCACACUGGAACUGAGACACGGUCCAGACUCCUACGGGAGGCAGCAGUAGGGAAUCUUCCGCAAUGGGCGAAAUCCUGACGGAGCAACGCCGCGUGAGUGAAGAAGGUCUUCGGAUCGUAAAACUCUGUUAUUAGGGAAGAACAAUUGUGUAAGUAACUAUGCACGUCUUGACGGUACCUAAUCAGAAAGCCACGGCUAACUACGUG
Molecule: ribosomal RNA, 496 nt
Filed under: uncultured bacterium
Lineage: Bacteria
Description: partial 16S ribosomal RNA
Rfam family: Bacterial small subunit ribosomal RNA
Source: RNAcentral